AUGUGGACCCCGUCACGGAAAGCUGCAGCACCUUGUCCUGUGAAAUGUCCUUACUCCCAGAGAUGGUGAUCUUCUUGAUGGACCUUGAGACAGGAGAGGGAGAGGCGACAUUCCGGUUCAGGUCGUCCUCGGCUGCCAUGUCCUCCUGAUUGUGCCUCGCGGGUGCUACCUGCUUCGCGGCGGGGGACGCCAGACAGGGGCCGCGUGCGCAGACCUGGGGCCGACUGAGGUAGAGCGAGUUCAGGUUGUGUUGCAGAGGGCAGUUAUCCAGGCUCUGCUGGCUCUGCAGGUAACUCUGUGUAAACUCCUGGCAUUUUGGCACCGCCGGGACUGAGAGUCUCGUCCCAAUGGUGAAGGGCUGGACCUUCCUCACAAUGCUUUCAGACAUUGCAAUGUCCAGCUCCGUGGGUCCAGUCUCUGUCCAACUGGCAAGUGGAGGGCUGAACAGAAAGUGGAGGGAGAGCUCAGUUCUCCACCUUCUUGUGCAUAUUGAGAAUGCACAGCACGCAGCCCAGGACGGCUUCCUUGGACUCCUGGGAUCGAAUGCGGUCCCAGACGUGGCGCAGCGCCGUGCCAAGGUGGGCAGCGCCCGUAGAGAGGCUUCUCCUGAGGAACUGUGCCACCGAGCCUGCCAGUCUGCUACUGAGGAGCCUGAUAACCAGGGACCGCAGCAAGAUGAAAACUGCUGGCAUGCUGCCUGACUGUGCUGCGAAAAACUGCAAAGAAAAAAAAAAGGAAACUGAAAAAAAAAAAGGAGGGGGAAAGAGGAGGGUUGGUUAGGAGAGGGAUGAAGUCACCGCUCUCUCUGUCUCUCGUUCUCUGUCAGCGGUGACUGAGUGUUAGAGGGGGGCUGACAAAACCUCCCCUCUGAACCCGGACACAAAAUAUGUCCAGAUAAGAGCCGAGAAAUGGAGUCAGAGGGAAAAGACCUCUGUCCGACCUCUUCAAUCACAACUUGCCCUCUGUGAGGUAAUAUCCUCAGCUGAAACAAAGUCUCACACACACACGCACACACACACUCGCCUUACCUCUACUUUGAAGUGCGCAGGAACAGAUUCAGCCCUUGGGUGUUUUUGCUUUACAAGAGCAAAAAAAAAUAAAUCAAGCCUUUAACACUCAGCAGACUUUAAAAUAAAAUCCAGUUUCAAAUCUGAGCAGAGUGUGAGCUUGAGAUGCGUGUGAGCGCCGUCUGUCUGCGAGUGAGAGUGUGCUCUCCUCAGCUCCGAGCCUCUCCCCAUCGGCCAGGAGCAGUUGUCGCUCAGGUUCCAGCUGAACGCGACAGCCCUGCCGCUCCUUAAACCGCCGCGCUGCUGGCGUGACAAGUGUGUGUGUCUGUGUGUGUGUGUGUGUGUGUGUGUGGUGGACGGGGGGCAAAUUGCAGUCGAGCAGAUGAUGACCCCCCUGCCACUCCUUCUCGAUGGUGGUGGCGAGGGUUCAACAGAGCGCAUGUUGGGAUGACGGACUGGAAUGGCAGGGGGUGGCGUGCGUGCGUGUGUCAGGGGAGUGGGGAUUACUGGGCAGAGCAGACAGCGGAGGGGGGGUAAAUAUUUUUGCAGGGAGCAAAGCGGAGAAUCUGCCUCGACUGGUGAAAGCUUUCCCCCCAAAAAAGGAAACUCUCCCUCUUCACUCGGCUGCUCCCUGACUUGACCCCGGCACCUGGUUGCAGUAGCUGCUCAAACUACUCGCAACAAAGAUACUCCUUGUUUUUUACUUUUAAAGUUCCCAAAAUAGAUCCUCACAUGGUAGAACUACAUGAAAUGUAGAAACAGAAACAUGAAUGACAUGUGUUCAGCGUUUGAUUCAGGCUUGAACAGGCGGCAGCGGGGUCGACAUGGUUAAUGGCGCUUUUAAGAGAGCUCCGCUUUCACGAUGAGGUCAUCUGAGGAAGAGUUUAAUGUGUUGCAGCUUGAAAUCAGAGAUAAAUCGUGCGCAGGCUGGGUGGUGUUCACGGAAGGCUGCAUGGGUGGAGUUCAAGGGUUUGGGCUGACGUUAAAAUGCCAUUUCCUCAUAUUGCUGGGCUCUAAAAGUGUGCAAGCAGUGGGUACACUGUGUGACUGGGACACCGCCGCAGGCCAAAAUGUUGUUUGUGUUCAGAUGGAACAGUUAAAAAUGGGUGUAAUUUUUGAUCUAGAAUUGUUAUGUACCAGAAGGCAAUACAUAUAAAUACAUGUGUAAUGAUAGUCGUUCUGUGUCAAGUUGACAUGAAGAAAUGGUGACGUGAAUACUGCAAUCCAAAGUUUAGCCCAGAAUUUAACAAUCAUGUGCAACACCUUAGGAUAUAUAUAUAUAUAUAUAUAUA
This is a long non-coding RNA of Gasterosteus aculeatus (three-spined stickleback), 2299 nucleotides long. The record is from Ensembl. NCBI's taxonomy places the organism in Eukaryota, Metazoa, Chordata, Actinopteri, Perciformes, Gasterosteidae.